UUCGAAAAUAGCAUGGUCCUAAACAUUGAGGGUCCUAAAGCUCUUAUUUUGAGAGAUAAUCUCCGCCCCUCUCCGCCUCCUAAAGGAAAAGCCCGAUUCGUAACAACAAUAACAACGACAAAAACGUGACAGACAAGUAGAGAGCCACCACAACCAAGACUGCGUCGGGAUACAGGAAGGGAGAGGAAGUGCGCAUGCGCCGCAU
Molecule: ribosomal RNA, 205 nt
Filed under: Rattus norvegicus (Norway rat)
Lineage: Eukaryota; Metazoa; Chordata; Mammalia; Rodentia; Muridae
Description: partial ribosomal RNA
Source: RNAcentral